AACCUUUACACUGCACGACAGUGCGAUAGGGGGACUCCGAGUGCGAGGGCAUAGAGCCCUCGCUUUUGUACACCGUAAGGUGGUGUACGAAUAAGAACUGGGCAAGACCGGUGCCAGCCGCCGCGGUAAUACCGGCAGCCCGAGUGAUGGCCGAUCUUAUUGGGCCUAAAGCGUCCGUAGCUGGCCGCACAAGUCCAUCGGAAAAUCCACCCGCUCAACGGGUGGGCGUCCGGUGGAAACUGUGUGGCUUGGGACCGGAAGGCGCGACGGGUACGUCCGGGGUAGGAGUGAAAUCCCGUAAUCCUGGACGGACCGCCGAUGGCGAAAGCACGUCGCGAGAACGGAUCCGACAGUGAGGGACGAAAGCUAGGGUCUCGAACCGGAUUAGAUACCCGGGUAGUCCUAGCCGUAAACAAUGCCUGCUAGGUGUGGCUCCCACUACGAGUGGGUGCUGUGCCGUAGGGAAGCCGCUAAGCAGGCCGCCUGGGAAGUACGUCUGCAAGGAUGAAACUUAA
This 515-nucleotide ribosomal RNA is filed under the name uncultured archaeon. Its description in RNAcentral is "bacterial SSU rRNA". It matches the Rfam family "Archaeal small subunit ribosomal RNA", at positions 345 to 859 of the family's 1478-position model. The record is from RNAcentral.